AGAGCGGCGUACGGGUGCGGGACACGUGUGCAACCUGCCUUUAUCAAGGGGAUAGCCUUUCGAAAGGAAGAUUAAUACCCUAUAAUAUAUGAUUCGGCAUCGGAUUAUAUUGAAAACUACGGUGGAUAAAGAUGGGCACGCGCAAGAUUAGCUAGUUGGUGAGGUAACGGCUCACCAAGGCGACGAUCUUUAGGGGCCUGAGAGGGUGAUCCCCCACACUGGUACUGAGACACGGACCAG
RNAcentral lists this ribosomal RNA (240 nucleotides) under uncultured Flavobacteriales bacterium. RNAcentral describes it as "partial 16S ribosomal RNA". It matches the Rfam family "Bacterial small subunit ribosomal RNA", at positions 92 to 334 of the family's 1533-position model. Lineage: Bacteria; Pseudomonadati; Bacteroidota; Flavobacteriia; Flavobacteriales. The record is from RNAcentral.